This 87-nucleotide transfer RNA is filed under the name Shewanella hanedai. Its description in RNAcentral is "tRNA-Leu". It matches the Rfam family "tRNA". Rfam says of the family: Transfer RNA (tRNA) molecules are approximately 80 nucleotides in length. Their secondary structure includes four short double-helical elements and three loops (D, anti-codon, and T loops). Lineage: Bacteria; Pseudomonadati; Pseudomonadota; Gammaproteobacteria; Alteromonadales; Shewanellaceae. The record is from RNAcentral. RNAcentral also lists the same sequence under 22 other names.
GCGGAUGUGGUGGAAUUGGUAGACACGCCAGCUUGAGGGGCUGGUGAGCGCAAGCUCGUGGGGGUUCAAGUCCCCCCAUCCGCACCA